This 484-nucleotide ribosomal RNA is filed under the name uncultured bacterium. RNAcentral describes it as "partial 16S ribosomal RNA". It matches the Rfam family "Bacterial small subunit ribosomal RNA", at positions 29 to 507 of the family's 1533-position model. The record is from RNAcentral.
AUUGAACGCUGGCGGAAUGCUUUACACAUGCAAGUCGAACGGCAGCACGGGGGCAACCCUGGUGGCGAGUGGCGAACGGGUGAGUAAUACAUCGGAACGUGCCCGGUCGUGGGGGAUAACGUAGCGAAAGUUACGCUAAUACCGCAUACGAUCUGAGGAUGAAAGCGGGGGACCUUCGGGCCUCGCGCGAUCGGAGCGGCCGAUGUCAGAUUAGGUAGUUGGUGGGGUAAAGGCCUACCAAGCCGACGAUCUGUAGCUGGUCGGAGAGGACGACCAGCCACACUGGGACUGGGACACCGCCCAGGCGCCUACGGGAGGCAGCAGUGGGGAAUGUUGGACAAUGGGCGCGAGCCUGGUCCAGCCAUUCCGCGUGCAGGACGAAGGCCUUCGGGUUGUGAACUGCUUUUGUAUGGAACGAAAAGGCUCUGGCUAAUACCUGGGGCUCAUGACGGUACCGUAAGAAUAAGCACCGGCUAACUACGUG